RNAcentral lists this long non-coding RNA (6923 nucleotides) under Erythranthe guttata (spotted monkey flower). RNAcentral describes it as "long non-coding RNA (EGUT_LNC001453)". Lineage: Eukaryota; Viridiplantae; Streptophyta; Magnoliopsida; Lamiales; Phrymaceae. The record is from RNAcentral.
CGCCCACUACCGAAAUACACUGUACUUUUUUUUUUUUUUCAUUACAAUAAAUAAAUACAAUGACUUCCGAUAAAUACAAUGUCUCCUACUUAAUUUAUCAACAAUAAUAUCAAAUACACGUGACAACCAAAUGCCACAACUAAUCUCGUAUUCAUAGUUCUCGAAUUUCAAUCAUUCUUAAACACAACACUAGAUUAAACUCUCUAAAAUCUUUGAAUAACUUUUACUCCUAAGAGCCUUCAACAUAAUCGUCUACUAAUGCACCUGUUACUGAGAAUAAGAUGAAAAAUAAAGGAGGAGUAAGUCCAAGUGGACUUAGUGAGGAGUACGAGGGAAAAACAGUCGAAUCAAAUAAUAAUCACAAUAUAAGCGUUCAAGGAAUUGGAGUUGGAAUUGGAGUUGAAAUUGGACCAUCUAGAGAAUGAUCGUUCGAUAAGGAAUAAUAGGCCAAAGUAUAAGGCACUCAGUAUGAUCAUAGUAAACAAUAGACACAAUAUGUACAGGUAAAGAACAAUAUUCAAGGGGUAAUUCCCGGAUAUCAAUUAUAAAUUCUGUGGAGAUUCCCACGAUAACUAUUUCGGAUAUCAAAUAUGAGACCAUGGAGAUUACCAUGGUAACAAUUUGUUCAUGUACCCGUACCAGCCUUGUGACUCCCUUAGUCGUUACUACCUUAUAACCCCGAUCAGGGAGCUACCCUGCUAAUUGAUCAAUAGGCAUGCCCGGGCGCAUGCCGAUCCAUCCAUCAGCACAGUUAACCUUCAACUAUGCCAAUGGUCUAGAUCCAAUAUGGGUACUGUCGAAGAGACCAUCCACCGUCGGCCCAAUACCGCCCAGCAGUCUUUUUCGAACAGCCCCGGGCCCAACUGGUCAAUUAUCCUUAGGGCGUCCCCAAAGGAACCAAUAAUAUAGAGAUACGGAUAUGCUUCCGACUAUCUCAAUUUACAUUUUGAAUCCCCAUAAUGAAUUCCACUUUGGAAAGAGUCAAUAUCACAGUUCAACGAUUGUGGGAUUCCAAUAACAAGUGAUAGUAUCUUGUGGUCACAAAAUCCCAAGUCAAGAAGAGUACGAUCAAUGGUUUCAAUAAGAGAGUGACCACAAUUCAAGAUCGUAUAACAAUUGAUGAAGAUGGAUCUCAGUCACCAAUAGUCUACGGUUAAAAUAGAAUAUGUAGUUGUAUAGCUCGAAAGACAAGUGGUUUCAAAGGAUCAAUGGGAAUUUAAGAUAUGAACGAUCCAUCAAUUCACAGUAGGUAUGGAACGAAUGAUUUAGUGGAUCAAUACAAUAAUCCUAAAUGGUCCAAGAGUCGGGAAAAGAACGAUUUACGUUCAUUGAACCACUGUAGAAACAAAUCAAAUGAUUUACUAAAUCAUAAUAGAAGAAGUGGUUCCAACUAUUAUAUAAGUCAAUAUGUGAAACGAUUCACAAUUGAUAGAGAGUCGGACUGAAACUCGUUGAAUUAUUUAAGGUCGAUAAACGAACUCAAUUGAGUAGUCAAAGAAUCGAGAUGAGAAAUUAUUCGAAUAAUUCACGAAUCAAGAUGAGAACUUAUUAAGUUCCAUGAAGAGGAUUUCGAAUCGAUCAAAGAUUUCAAUAGCUCAAGAAUUAAUAAUUCUCGGAAAUCAAAUUAGUUCACAAGAUAGGUGACAAUAAAUAUAUAUUGAAUUUAAACGACGAGUAAUAACAAUAAUAAACCGAACGAUACGAGUGUGUAGCAACAAAUUCUUAUCUCCUAUAUAAACAAACAAGAAAGAAUUGCACAAAGAUAAUUUUAUUGAAUUAAAAUAAGAUAUUGCGGGUUACAAACUCUAAUUUAAUCCUCUGAUUCUUCUCUUAAGAAGAAUAUAUGUUGACUUUGAAUUUCGGAGUCAGGUCGUUGACUUGAUCUUCUCCGGAUUUGAUUUUGAACUUGAAUAACGUUUUCUGAGGGUCUUGCGACUUGAAUCUCGGAUCGAACGUUGAACUUUGACGAGCUUUGACUUGAAGAUCUUGGAGUUCUUGAUGGAUUUGGCCCUUCAAUUUUCCUUCGAUCUUGAUUUGUUGAAGAACACCCUCGAUUUGAUGAAGAACGCCUUGAAUUUGUUGAAGAACGACUUGAAUAUUGUAGAAAGAAUUUUCUCCUACGGUUUUUCUUCUUCUUGAGUUGUGUUUUGAAUUGUGUAUAGAGGGUCCCUAUUUAUAGUGGUAGAAUAAGAGUCCUACUUAAAGUCUACUUGAUGACGUGACGCGAUUUGAUUGGCUCUCUUUAAAUUGAUAUUUAUCUCUUAUAACUUGGAAGAGAAGAAAUAAUCCUAUUGGCCAAUAAUUAAUUGAUAAUUAUCUCCAUAACUUAUUUUGUAAGAUAAAUUAUAAUUUAAUUUAGACACAAUUUAAUUGGCUAAUUUAAUUAACCAAUUAAUUAAUUUUAUGCGUCUACAAAUGCCCCCUCGAGACUUGUUCACGGACAAUGCAUCUUGGAGUGGAUGAGUCUCGAUAAUUGCUCAACUUUGAUUGCAUCUUGAUCUACCAAAGAACAUAUAUCUUUUGAAAUCAUGACUGAACUUAGAGAGAUUCUAAGUUGCCUACGUACCCUAUAAAGGGAUCAAGUCAUAACGUAGUUCAAAAUAUAUCCUUUUGAGGGAUGUCGUGCACAGUUUAUACUCAUGUGGACAAGGAGAAACAUUUGCAGUUUAAGCUCGUACUGAAGGAGCAUUUGACUUGAAUUUGUAGAUAGUUUAUGCUCGUAUCAAGGAGGCUUGACUUGAUUUGGACAUAUAGAUAGUUUAUGCUCGUAUCGAGGAGCCUUGACUUGAUUUGGAUAUGUAGAUAGUUUAUGCUCGUAUCAAUGAGCCUUGACUUGAUUUGGAUAUGUAGAUAGUUUAUGCUCGUAUCAAGGAGCCUUGAUUUGACUUGGAUAUGUAGAUAGUUUAUGCUCGUAUCAAGGAGCCUUGACUUGAUUUGGAUAUAUAGAUAGUUUAUGCUCGUAUCGAGGAGCCUUGACUUGAUUUGGAUAUGUAGAUAGUUUAUGCUCGUAUCAAGUAGCCUUGACUUGAUUUGGAUAUGUAGAUAGUUUAUGCUCGUAUCAAGGAGCCUUGAUUUGACUUGGAUAUGUAGAUAGUUUAUGCUCGUAUCAGGGAGUAUUUCAGUUGAUUUGGACUUGUAGACCUUUUAAACUCGUGUCAAAGUGUAUUUCACUUGAUUUGGACUUGUAGACCUUUUAAACUCGUGUCAAGGAGUACUUGAUUUGAUUUGGACAUGUAGACCUUUUAAACUCGUAUCAAGGAGUGUCUGAUUUGGACAUGUAGACCUUUUAAACUCGUGUCAAUGAGUGUCUGAUUUGGACAUGUAGACCUUUUAAACUCGUGUCAAGGAGUGCUUGAUUUGGACAUGUGGACCUUUUAAACUCGUGUCAAGGAGUGUUUCACUUGAUUGGAACUGUCAUAUUGCAUAGGGUGUUGCUUCUUCAAAAGACUUGCCCCCAUCCUCAUGAUUUUCUUGUUCUUCUUCAAGAUGCACUUCUUUGAGCUGGUACGGCUUUUGGAAUGGUGAUUCUUCAAUUUGAUUUGCAAGUAUGCUCAACUCCAUAUCAUGUGCUCGAGUGGCCAACUCUUCAAAACUUUUAGGUUGAAUUACUUGAAGGAUAUAUCGGAGUUCCCAUUGCAUUCCUUGGAUGCACAGUUCAAUAGCUGAUGUCUCAGACAGUCGAUCCUUGCAAUUGAGACUCAAAUUUCUCCAACGUUUGAUGUAGUCGAUGACAGGUUCUUUCUUCCAUUGGCGGGAAUUGGUGAGCUCAAUCAUGCUGACUGUUCUUCGAGUGCUGUAAAAGCGGUUGAGAAAUUCUUCCUCUAAGUGCUUCCAACUAUCGAUGGAGUUUGCCCCCAAAUCAAUGUACCAAUCAAACGCGUUGUCUUUGAGCGAUCGGACGAAUUGCUUGACGAGGUGAUCUCCGUACGUCCCGGCAUCAUUGCAAGUUUCGACGAAGUGUGCCAUAUGUUGCUUGGGGUUGCCUUUGCCGUCAAAUUGUUGAAACUUUGGAGGUAUAUAGCCCAUUGGCAUCCUUAGAUCAUCAAUCCUUUGCGUGUAUGGCUUGACAUAGUUUGAUGGAGACUUCGAGCUCCCUUCCAACUUGUCUUUGAUGGUUCCACUGAUCAGCGUCAUCACUUGAUCUACAUGAAUCAUCCCUUCUGGAGAAACUUGAAGUUCUUGAGCUGGAGCCUUCUCGUUUUCAACUGGUUGUUGCUUUGUGGAUGUCUCGACUUCGUCUUGAACCUCUAUCUGAUUCUCCACAGCUUGAAUAGCAUCGGCUUUGUCCAUCUUGUUGAUCAACUCGGCAAUUUGAGAAUCUCGUUGUUGAACAUGCUUUGCGAGUCCCUCAAUGGCCUUUGUCAAACUUGCAAUUUGCUCCUCCAUGGUUGUAGCGUUUGUUGUCAUGACGGAUGCCACCUCUGAGUAGCUUGAUGUUGAACGAGGCGUGGGCUGUGAAAUCUCUCGUUUUGAACCUUCCACGUCUGCGCUUGUGUUGACAAGAGAGUGGUAAGCCUUUCUGAAUGGUUUGAGGCGUCGAGUUAGUCUCGGAGGAUGCUUGCAGCUUCUUAGCCAUACUCCUUGUAUCUAAGGNNNNNNNNNNNNNNNNNNNNNNNNNNNNNNNNNNNNNNNNNNNNNNNNNNNNNNNNNNNNNNNNNNNNNNNNNNNNNNNNNNNNNNNNNNNNNNNNNNNNNNNNNNNNNNNNNNNNNNNNNNNNNNNNNNNNNNNNNNNNNNNNNNNNNNNNNNNNNNNNNNNNNNNNNNNNNNNNNNNNNNNNNNNNNNNNNNNNNNNNNNNNNNNNNNNNNNNNNNNNNNNNNNNNNNNNNNNNNNNNNNNNNNNNNNNNNNNNNNNNNNNNNNNNNNNNNNNNNNNNNNNNNNNNNNNNGGUCGUUGACUUGAUCUUCUCCGGAUUUGAUUUUGAACUUGAAUAACGUUUUCUGAGGGUCUUGCGACUUGAAUCUCGGAUCGAACGCUGAACUUUGACGAGCUUUGACUUGAAGAUCUUGGAGUUCUUGAUGGAUUUGGCCCUUCAAUUUUCCUUCGAUCUUGAUUUGUUGAAGAACACCCUCGAUUUGAUGAAGAACGCCUUGAAUUUGUUGAAGAACGACUUGAAUAUUGUAGAAAGAAUUUUCUCCUAUAGUUUUUCUUCUUCUUGAGUUGUGUUUUGAAUUGUGUAUAGAGGGUCCCUAUUUAUAGUGGUAGAAUAAGAGUCCUACUUAAAGUCUACUUGAUGACGUGACGCGAUUUGAUUGGCUCUCUUUAAAUUGAUAUUUAUCUCUUAUAACUUGGAAGAGAAGAAAUAAUCCUAUUGGCCAAUAAUUAAUUGAUAAUUAUCUCCAUAACUUAUUUUGUAAGAUAAAUUAUAAUUUAAUUUAGACACAAUUUAAUUGGCUAAUUUAAUUAACCAAUUAAUUAAUUUUAUGCGUCUACAGAGUGCUCGGCAUAUAUUUUGUUUUUCCAGAAAGAAUAGACAAGGGAUAGGGAUCCUCACCUGAAGUCCAAUGCAAGUGCUAUAAGAACACCUUACUCUCGAGUCAUGCUCAAGUCUUGAAUGAGAGCUUUAGUACGCUCGACACCUAUAAACAUAUUCAUCACUUAACAAGAUUCCAAAUGCUAAUAUAAUCGUUUACUAUCCGCUUCUAUUUUAUCCUAACUUAAAUCUUAUGCCGUAAUUGACAAUCGAACAUAAUACACAAUUUCUACGGCAUUCUAUUUACCAAAUACAACCCACUCCAGGCAUAAAUUCGCAUGGUACGGAGUUAACUCGUGUUUGUUUGACGAGUUCUCGAAACAAAGGUUUAAAACAUUUGUUUCCACAAUUUCUUUGAAAAAUCAUAACAAUUGGUACAAUUAUCCAAAUUGGGAGAGUAAUAUGCCAAAUGAAAGCUAACAGAAAAUACUACGACUUCACAUAAGGCUUUAGUCCCAAAUUCUGAACCAAAAACAGCAGAAACAGCCUCAAACCAGCAUUACAGAACUGCCGGGAUUUUGGAAAGAUUAUUUAUGGUACAGCUUAUUUGAAAAAUCAUAACAAUUUGUAGAGUUAUCCAAAUUGUCCAAAUAAUACACCAAAUGAACCUUACAAUGUAAACUACAAGUUCUCAGAAGACACACAACUCAAAUUAUUAGCUCAACAUAGCAAACACGGCCCCGUAAGAAGAAUACUCAAAACUGCCCUGUUUUAACAGAUUUACAGCCGUCUAAUUCUCAUCUCUAAAAGUCUAUAAACCUUGCUCAAAUUAGAAGCAAUUUAACACUUACUAAUAUUUCUCGCGGUCCUCUACGAGUUUCGUCAAGGAAUGAUUCCCAAAUUCGCACUCCAAACUCUCCAAAUUCUGUUCCGAAAACAGGUGCGGCAGCAGUUCUUCAUUUCUCUGAAUUUUGCCGACAUAACUGUCGGGUUUAAUUCGGUUAUAUAUGAUAGUCGAAAUUUGGGGAAAAGAUGAUAUUGCUAUAUUAUAUAGUCUGUUCUAUAAGUUCCCAAGAGAAAUAAAUCCGAAAUUCGAAGCCUAGGUACCUCAAAUCGGCUCUUAAAACUUCAGCGGCAGGCUGGACUUCUCAUCGAACUCCGGCGACCACCAUGUGAGACAACAGCCGGAAACCACCACCAAAUUGAAGCUUACGUCGAGGGCUUUCCAAUGAUAAAUCCCGACCGCUGAAACUCUGCCGGAAUGAUUGUCAAUUCACCAUCGUUCUCUCCGUCGGUUGAACCAUAGCUCAUCUCUAAUAUUCUUGAUCUCUCUCUCAAACUAUUCCUAUAAUUAAUCACUCAAUUUCUUGGAGUUCUAUGUGAUUUGUGGAUGAUGAUUCUAUCGACGAGAAGGGGUAAUUUAUAGGCAGAAGUGAAGUCGGAAUAUGCUAUUAAUCGGAUGAAGAUGACGAAGACUUUCUCACUUAUCCGCCUAUUUCAUAAACUUGAUUGC